RNAcentral lists this ribosomal RNA (101 nucleotides) under uncultured bacterium. RNAcentral describes it as "partial 16S ribosomal RNA". It matches the Rfam family "Bacterial small subunit ribosomal RNA", at positions 1386 to 1482 of the family's 1533-position model. The record is from RNAcentral.
CACACCGCCCGUCACAUCACGAAAAGUCGGGUUGCACUAGAAGUCGGUGGGCUAACCCGCAAGGGAGGCAGCCGCCUAAAGUGUGAUCGGUAAUUGGGAUG